GUGGCUAUAGCUCAAUUGGUAGAGUCCCGGAUUGUGAUUCCGGUUGUUGCGGGUUCAAAUCCCGUUAGCCACCCCA
RNAcentral lists this transfer RNA (76 nucleotides) under Bordetella sp. RNAcentral's name for it is "tRNA-His". It matches the Rfam family "tRNA". Rfam says of the family: Transfer RNA (tRNA) molecules are approximately 80 nucleotides in length. Their secondary structure includes four short double-helical elements and three loops (D, anti-codon, and T loops). Lineage: Bacteria; Pseudomonadati; Pseudomonadota; Betaproteobacteria; Burkholderiales; Alcaligenaceae. The record is from RNAcentral.